Molecule: non-coding RNA, 65 nt
Organism: Podarcis lilfordi (Lilford's wall lizard)
Lineage: Eukaryota; Metazoa; Chordata; Lepidosauria; Squamata; Lacertidae
Source: the annotation of a GenBank genome assembly
GAGCUGAGUGGCAGAGCAUCUGAUUUGCAAGCAGAAGGCCCCAGGUUCAAUCCUUGGCGUCUCCA